RNAcentral lists this transfer RNA (68 nucleotides) under Marmota monax (woodchuck). RNAcentral describes it as "tRNA.Asn". Lineage: Eukaryota; Metazoa; Chordata; Mammalia; Rodentia; Sciuridae. The record is from RNAcentral.
GGAGUGUGGCUUAGUGGUAGACUAUGUGCUUAUUAUGCACUAGGCCUCGAGUUCAAUCCUCGGCACCA